CGGUGAGAGCUUUUCCCUCAUCUUCUGCAGAAGUCUUAUCUUCUCCCUAGUGCAGGUUAAGGUAUUCAAGCUCACCAAGAUCU
This 83-nucleotide small nucleolar RNA is filed under the name Leishmania donovani. Its description in RNAcentral is "H/ACA box snoRNA LD36Cs5H1". The record is from RNAcentral. Lineage: Eukaryota; Euglenozoa; Kinetoplastea; Trypanosomatida; Trypanosomatidae.